UCCGACGCACUCCAUCUCCAAAUAGU
Molecule: non-coding RNA, 26 nt
Filed under: Homo sapiens (human)
Lineage: Eukaryota; Metazoa; Chordata; Mammalia; Primates; Hominidae
Source: RNAcentral